GACGAACGCUGGCGGCGUGCUUAACACAUGCAAGUCGAACGGAAAGGCCCUGCUUUUGUUCGGUGCUCGAGUGGCGAACGCGUGAGUAACACGUGAGUAACCUGCCCUUGUCUUUGGGAUAACUUCAGGAAACUGGGGCUAAUACCGGAUAGGAUCUCCUGCUGCAUGGUGGGGGUUGGAAAGUGUCGGCGGUUGGGGAUGGACUCGCGGCUUAUGAGCUUGUUGGUGGGGUAGUGGCUUACCAAGGCUUUGACGGGUAGCCGGCAUGAGAGCGUGAACGGCGACCAUGCGACUGAGAGACGGAGCAGACGCCUACGGGAGGCAGCAGUCGAGAAUAUUGCACAAUGGGCGGGCGUCUGAUGCAGAAGCGCCGGGUGCGGGAUGCCGUCCUUCGGGUUAUAAACAGCUUUCGCCUGAGACGAAGCGUGCGUGACGGUACUGGGUAAAGAAGCACCGGCUAACUACGUG
RNAcentral lists this ribosomal RNA (468 nucleotides) under uncultured bacterium. Its description in RNAcentral is "partial 16S ribosomal RNA". It matches the Rfam family "Bacterial small subunit ribosomal RNA", at positions 28 to 507 of the family's 1533-position model. The record is from RNAcentral.